RNAcentral lists this ribosomal RNA (275 nucleotides) under uncultured bacterium. RNAcentral's name for it is "partial 16S ribosomal RNA". It matches the Rfam family "Bacterial small subunit ribosomal RNA", at positions 1091 to 1381 of the family's 1533-position model. The record is from RNAcentral.
CACGAGCGCACCCGUGUUGCUAGUUACCAGUGUCUAGCGAGACUGCCGGUAACAAGCCGGAGGAAGGUGCGGAUGAUGUCAAGUCAGCAUGGCCUAUAUGUCCAGGGCUACAACACGCUACAAUGGCUGGUACAAAGGGAAGCGAAGGGAGACCUGAAGCGAAUCCCAUCAAAGCCAGUCAUAGUUCGGAUUGCAGGCUGCAACUCGCCUGCAUGAAGCCGGAGUUGCUAGUAACCGCAGGUCAGCAAUACUGCGGUGAAUACGUUCCCGGGCCU